Molecule: long non-coding RNA, 1896 nt
Filed under: Nicotiana benthamiana
Lineage: Eukaryota; Viridiplantae; Streptophyta; Magnoliopsida; Solanales; Solanaceae
Description: long non-coding RNA (NBEN_LNC016575)
Source: RNAcentral
AAAGAUUCACAUAGUUUGAAUCACAAAAAGCGAAAAGUAUCACAUAAAUUAAGAUAGAGGGAGGACGUAAUAUAAAAGGUUUUUUUUAGCAAAAACACACAUAAAUAAGCCUUCAACAAAUGAAAGAAGUCUGUAAAUUAGCAGGGAAUAAGUAAUGCAAUUAUCUUACCUUGAUCAAAGUAAAUCUCUAUUAUCUAUUGGUUUCUGGAACCAGGCCAAAGGUAGAAGGUGAAACCGCAGUCGCUUUAUUCCCUAUUUAACAAGGAACACGAGAGAAAUAUAAAGAUUUGUCUCAGCUCCCUUAUGAGAAUAAAGAAUAAGACAGUAUGAAUCACCUUUCAGAUUCAGGUUCAGGUUCUGGUUUAGGCUUUUUGGCAUCUUCAUUCUUCAGCACUGCAAACAUUUAGAGAAUUGUUUCUCAUCAUGAGACACAUUGUGAUUUUUUUUUCCAAAAGUAAGGUAGUAAUAGUAAUUAUAAAGUUGUUUUCAUCAUGCAACCUUUUUCUAUCAAUCUCGUAUUCGUACAACCUGUUGCAAAAGAAAUUACAAGAUUACCGUACGGACAAGAAAACACCAAUCAGUUUCUAAUAGAUUAUUACUAGUUCAUAUGAAUGGCAGAAGGCGGUUAAACGGCUUGGUGUAACAGUGAUGUAACCAUUUAAUGAGAAAGAAUACAAUAACGAGCAAAAAUAGAUUAACAAGUCUAACUUUAGUACUAAUUAUGUAGAUUUUUACACUAUCAUGUUAUAGAACUACAACUACAGAUAACUGUCCAUAAUAGGUGAAAGGAUUUAACUUACGUGUUAGCUUUUAACCAAAAUCAUUCUUAUUGUUUUAGCAACUUUCACUAUAUUCUUGUAAUAUUUCACUUAACUACAAACGUCCUUUAAGUUUCAGAAAUUGACCAAAAACAUCCCUCUGUUAAGUCUUUCCAUCCACUUAUAACAGAUUUCUUUUUCUCAUUGUGACCCUCAUUUUUUCCCUUUUCCCCCAAUGUCUUCCUUCUUACUUGCUUUGAACAGUAUCAGAUUCAUCUCUAUCAUUUGUAUCAAAAUAUGCAGAAUCCAGAAAAAUAUCAUAGAGAAACUAAAAAAUGUAUGCAGAAUGCAAAAAUUGUGGUGCAAAAACUGAAAUGUACGAGCACAAUGCAGAAAUUUCUGGAAAAAGAAAUUGAAAAUUAUGUACAGAAACUCCGUUGCAGAAAAAAAAAAUUGCAAGAAAUUUGAAGAUGAAAGCAUUCAUACAUUAUCAAGUUGUAGAACUACAACUACAAAUUACUGUCCAUAAUGUGAUAUGUACGGUCACAUACCUAAUAGCAAUACAACAUAUAACCUGUUUGAAUAGAUUAAAGUACACUAGUAUUAUAAUUUUUUAUGCAAUCAAUAGUAUUAUAAUUGUAAAAUUCAUUAACAUAUGAUCUGCUCUCUCUCUCUCUCUCUCUCUCUCUCAUGAAAAUUACAACUAGUAAACGGCAAAAAGGUAUCGGGUAAAGAAAAUUACUCGCAUACAGUUCUGUUGGCAAUAUAAGCUGCGGUCGUAUAAACAGGAGCUAAAACAACUGAAAUUGCAGGGGAAAACAAAGAAAUUGGGGAUUAGCAGUAUUAAAAAAGAAUUCGCAAGGUAGAAAAUGGUAGAGAGUAAAUGAAAGGAAACAAACUUGGGCGAAUGACGCUUUUAAACACAUUGGUGAUAGCUUUCAUGUUUAAGCUGAAACGCUGCAACAUAACUGUUACGCCAGGAAAAGAAGCAUUAAAACAAGAGAAAAUUAUGGUACAAUUUGUGCUUUGUUGCAAAAAUCUAGGAUGUAACCCUAGGGUUUUAGUGAAUCACGAUAAUGGUAGGAAAAUCACAUAGGAUAUUACCUUUGUCGAGGAGUGGAAUUGAGAAAGUCGGCAA